Molecule: long non-coding RNA, 407 nt
Organism: Felis catus (domestic cat)
Lineage: Eukaryota; Metazoa; Chordata; Mammalia; Carnivora; Felidae
Exons: 2
Source: RefSeq, a predicted model, not a curated record
UAUGCCUUUAAGACACAGGCUCGUUUCUGUGGCUGAAGGUUCCACGUUUGGGGUCUGUUUAACCCACUAGCCAGGACCUGAGGCAGCUGCUUUUCUCGCAAGACAAUAAAAUCCAGGUUAUGGAAUCCUUUCAUAGAGGAGCAUCUCACAGGACAUGGACACGUUUGAGAAGGCUGAUGCAGUGCAUGGAACAUUGAUGAGAAAUGCUUCCCCUAAAUGAAUCCCCUAGAACACUAAGGAUGGGCCACAAAUGUGAGGAUGACCUCUGUUAUAGUCAGCAGCACCUUUCUGUUUCUUCAUAUGGCUUUUGAGAAACUGCUUCUUUGAUCUGUGCCUUAAUUUAUCCAUCAGAACAAUGGUCUCUAUCGAUAUAAUUGAAAGGACCAUAAAAAAAAAAACCCUUGAUA